This 587-nucleotide ribosomal RNA is filed under the name uncultured bacterium. RNAcentral describes it as "partial 16S ribosomal RNA". It matches the Rfam family "Bacterial small subunit ribosomal RNA", at positions 355 to 1375 of the family's 1533-position model. The record is from RNAcentral.
UGGGGAAUUUUGGACAAUGGGCGAAAGCCUGAUCCAGCAAUGCCGCGUGUGUGAAGAAGGCCUUCGGGUUGUAAAGCACUUUUGUCCGGAAAGAAAUCCUUGGCUCUAAUACAGUCGGGGGAUGACGGUACCGGAAGAAUAAGCACCGGCUAACUACGUGCCAGCAGCCGCGGUAAUACGUAGGGUGCAAGCGUUAAUCGGAAUUACUGGGCGUAAAGCGUGCGCAGGCGGUUUGCUAAGACCGAUGUGAAAUCCCCGGGCUCAACCUGGGAACUGCAUUGGUGACUGGCAGGCUAGAGUAUGGCAGAGGGGGGUAGAAUUCCACGUGUAGCAGUGAAAUGCGUAGAGAUGUGGAGGAAUACCGAUGGCGAAGGCAGCCCCCUGGGCCAAUACUGACGCUCAUGCACGAAAGCGUGGGGAGCAAAACAGGAUUAGAUACCCUGGUGAGUCCACGCCCUAAAACGAUGUCAACUAGUUGUUGGGGAUUCAUUCCUUAGUAACGUAGCUAACGCGUGAAGUUGACCGCCUGGGGAGUACGGUCGCAAGAUUAAAACUUAAAUGAAUUGACGGGGUCAUAGCUGUUUCCU